This 468-nucleotide ribosomal RNA is filed under the name uncultured bacterium. Its description in RNAcentral is "partial 16S ribosomal RNA". It matches the Rfam family "Bacterial small subunit ribosomal RNA", at positions 28 to 507 of the family's 1533-position model. The record is from RNAcentral.
GACGAACGCUGGCGGCGUGCUUAACACAUGCAAGUCGAACGGAAAGGCCCUGCUUUUGUGGGGUGCUCGAGUGGCGAACGGGUGAGUAACACGUGAGUAACCUGCCCUUGACUUUGGGAUAACUUCAGGAAACUGGGGCUAAUACCGGAUAGGAGCUCCUGCUGCAUGGUGGGGGUUGGAAAGUUUCGGCGGUUGGGGAUGGACUCGCGGCUUAUCAGCUUGUUGGUGGGGUAGUGGCUUACCAAGGCUUUGACGGGUAGCCGGCCUGAGAGGGUGACCGGCCACAUUGGUACUGAGAGACGGCCCAGACUGCUACGGGAGGCAGCAGUGGGGAAUAUUGCACAAUGGGCGGAAGCGUGAUGCAGCAACGCCGCGUGCGGGAUGACGGCCUUCGGGUUGUAAACCGCUUUCGCCUGUGACGAAGCGUGAGUGACGGUAAUGGGUAAAGAAGCACCGGCUAACUACGUG